UACGGGGGGUGCGAGCGUUGUCCGGAAUCACUGGGCGUAAAGGGCGCGUAGGUGGUUUGGUAAGGGUGUGGUGAAAGCCCGGGGCUCAACCCCGGGUCUGCCGUGCCGACUGUCAAACUCGAGGGCUGUAGAGGCAGACGGAAUUCCGGGUGUAGCGGUGGAAUGCGUAGAGAUCCGGAGGAAGACCGGUGGCGAAGGCGGUCUGCUGGGCAGUUUCUGACACUGAGGCGCGACAGCGUGGGGAGCAAACAGG
RNAcentral lists this ribosomal RNA (253 nucleotides) under uncultured bacterium. Its description in RNAcentral is "partial 16S ribosomal RNA". It matches the Rfam family "Bacterial small subunit ribosomal RNA", at positions 524 to 776 of the family's 1533-position model. The record is from RNAcentral.